Long non-coding RNA from Choloepus didactylus (southern two-toed sloth), 5696 nucleotides. RefSeq lists it as uncharacterized. Lineage: Eukaryota; Metazoa; Chordata; Mammalia; Pilosa; Megalonychidae. The transcript is spliced from 2 exons. The record is from RefSeq and is a predicted model, not a curated record.
UGCGCCCAAAGGCCUCUCCGAACAGCCAAAUCACCCGGCCUCUCGGCUGUGAGGGUUCCUGUCUCUUGGCCCCUCCAUUUUACGAGGAGCAGGCGGAGAGUCCCAUGCCUAGAGCCCCAGAAGGAGCGUGCCAGGGCCGUCUCUGCGGCUUUAAACCCGCCCAACUCUCGCUCCCGACCCGCAGCGGGGCUGGAGGUGAUGCCUCGGGGCGAGCGGACGGAGGCUCCAGGACAUCUGACUCGGGCCCCAGCGGCCUCGCGCUCCGCCUCAUCGCCGCCGCCCUCGCAGCCCUCCGGCCCCGGCCGCUCUCGCUCCCGCCCGGCCCCGUCCACCCUCGCUACGGACUCCCGCCCCUGACCGUUGCAGCAGGCUGCGGGCUGCGGGCAGAGCGGGCUGUUGCAAGGCACGCUGGGCCGCAGGUAAUGCUCCCGCACGAUCCGCAGCGUCCGGCCCUGGAACGUCCUCAGGAGCAGCACCUUCUCCCGCUUCUGCAGCAUGAUGGCGGCGCUCGGCCUGGCAGAGCUCAGGGCCCCAGGAGGCCGCCCCGAGCGCCGGGAAGCCGCGGGCGCCGCGCGACGCAGGCGAGGCCGCGGCUUCGGACCCGCCCCCUCGGCCUUCCGCGCUGGGGCCUGCCUGGUCCGCGUGGGGCUCCUGGCUCGGCCCAACCCGCAGCUGCUUGAGCUCUUCGGACUCCGAAACGGCCCGAACCGCCCCGGCCCGGGCCAACCCUACCCACCCCGCCUCAAUUUCCCCCCACCCCCCAAUUACCUGGGGGCAGGGAAGGGAGGAAACCAUCCACCCAAAAGACUUCACUGGAGAUAAGGAUAAUGUGGAGGCACACAAAUGAACCAUAGAUCCCAGCCUCGUUGCAGACAGGUGUGGCCAUGUGACUGAGUUCUAGCCAGCAGAAUGUAGUGGCACCAUUUCCAGGCCUGACCCAUAAAAUCCUCCCACAUGUGUGCUCCUCCUUCCUUUUCCGCUGGCUGGAUGCCAAUACCCAGGGGAUCUUGGAAGCCAGCCCUGAAGAUGGCAACAGCUCCAUUGGCUUGGGUUCCUGAAGGACUGUAUGGAGCAAAACCCUGCCUCCCUCACCCAGGAGCAUCUUCAGUGGACUCUUUCACAAGGCAGAAAUAAACUUCUAUUACAGCAGCUUGCAUUACCAUGCCUAAUACAUCCCCACUUUACAAAGAAGAUUAAGUAACUUGCCCAAGAGUUGCAUGGCUAUUUGCUUUUAAAACCCUCACUAGAUAUUAAACAUCCUGAUGAAGCUGUUCAAGGAUUUCUACAGUGGUUCUAAAUUGUACAGGAGGGAGGAGGCCAUCAGCAUUCUGCAGUGCUCUGGUUUGGUCUGGGCUACAGUGCCAUGGCAGUGCCACACUGGGCCUGAGCACUGCAAAGGAUACUUUGCAGUUUGCUUCUCUUCAAUCUAAGUGCAGAUGGACAGGCUGAUGCCCAGAUAGCAGGACGUGGUGACAGCUUUCAGCACUCUGUUGCUAAUGGAAAUCUCUGACUGAGGUCAGUUUUCCUGGUGCAUGACUCCAAUCUUCUUCUGGCUGAGCACCAAUGUGUUUACACUGCAGAGGAGUUUGUAGCAUUUGCUGACCUUCUUACAGAUAUGCUCCAGGAGUGCAGACAUCAGCAGCUUCUGGAUUCUAAUCAGGUUUCAACAAAAGAUUAGCCUAGGGAGGGUGGGGCAUCUUUGCAAAGGGCUAAGAGAACAGGGAGGUUAUACGUACAAAAGAAAUUCCCGAAUUUGAGCUUCAAGGGCUAGAAUGGAUCAGUGAAUCAUUGAAUGGCAAGCUUUGAUAUGUUCUCUGUAAUUAUUUAAAAUUACAAUAGUACAACAUGCUUGUUGCAACACAUUCAAACUACACUGAAGUAUGCCAUAUAAAAAUGUGUAAGUUCUGUUUCCAUCUAAAGUCUACUCUUCCCAAGUAAUUUACCAUUGUUUAUAGCCAGUAUGCAUCCUGGAAGUCUUUGAGUAUAACCUAAGGUUUGCAACUUUUUGAAGAACUUCUCAAUCUGUUCAGUAUCAGAUAAUUACAGCUAACAUUUCUCAAGCUGUCACUGGGUACUAAGCACUUUCCUAAGUAGUUUUCCUGUAUUUUCUUAUGUAGUCCUCAAAAUAAUGUUGACUCUGAUACGAUUGCCAAACACAUUUUACAGGUGAGGAAACUAAAGUAGAGAAAGAGUAAAGUACCAUAAUUGCCAAAGGCCACACACAUAGUCAAUGUAUGGCAAAGCCAAACUUUGAACCCAAGCAGUUCGGCUACAGAACCCAUGGGUAAUAACUUUGCUCUGCCACCUUCCAGCUAGUAAAUGGUGAGAGUUAUAGAAGAAGGUACAUUUUAUACAGUGAGCCAUGGAUGAACACAGUUAUAAGCUUUAGGGAUUUGAAAAUAAUGAUAUUCAAGUAUUGACCAUACCACUUGCCUAACUUCCCUGAGCCUUAGUGAUUCCAACCAUAAAAUAUGGCUAGCUGGACAGACUUUGCUGGGUAUCGGUAUUAAUGAGUCAAUGAUUGUAAAGGACCAUGUAAAUAUCUAAAAUUACCCAAUUUAUCUAAAGAAUCUGCUUGCUUUUAUUCAUGCUCUCAGUGGAAGAGUCACUGGAGGACAAACAGCCGCUGAGAUUACUCUGCUACUCAUAUUAAGGAUAAUUUAAUUUCUUGUAUGUUAAAGUCUGUUAAUCCUGAUUUUCACUUUUCCCAGCAGAUACAAUGGCUCCCUUUUGGCAUUCUAAACACCCUGUGAAUCCCAUAAUCCACUUUGCAAUGUUUACUUUAAACUGUUCUGCUUAACUCUUUCAAAUUUUUUAAAAAGAAAAUUACUUUGUGCUUACCAAUUAUAUAUCCCAGCAACACUUUACUGUACUUUUACCAUACUGAUAAUUUUGUCCUUCUACCAUUAAGGGGUGCUGUUUCAUUGAUUUUUUUUUUUUUUCUUUUUCCCCUGCACGCCUCCUCUAAAAUCCUCGGUGAAUAGCUAACUUCCUCUUUCAGUACUGCGGUUAAAAUGUAUCCAAUUACCUGAGACCAAAAAGCCCCAAACCCUUAGUAUUUUAACAAUACUUUUAUCAGUGCAGCUCAGAGGUCCAGAUGCUCCACAAUUAAUUAGAAACUAAACUUCAUUGGUGAAUACAGAAAAGAAAAAGAAAAUCCUUUAAAUCUUGAAGAGGACUACAAGAAAAUUCAGUUAUGUGAAUAGCUGUUUAUAAUUUAAAAAUAUAAACAUUCAAUUUGUCAUUUGAUUUUCUGUAUUGAUGUUAUUGGAUGAAAUUAAGCUUUCAUCCAUUUUGUAGGAUUAUUCUUAUCAGUGGAAUACCAGUCAGUAUGAUUAUUUCAUUGGAUGAAUGUAUUAUGUGGAGCUUUCCUGUUUAUUUUACUGUUUUGUUACUGCAUGUGUUUGAAUUUGGAAAAGUGAAUUCCGUCUUAUGUCUUGUAAUGAUAUAACUCACAGUUUGAUUCUCUUUCUCCAGGAAGAACCCAGUCCCAUUAGGGUUCGUCUGAUAAAUCCAGGCCCACUGAGGAUUAUCUCUCUGUCUUAAAGCACCAUGAUUUGGGACCUUAAUUACAUCUGCAAAAUCCCUUCACAGCAGCUUCUCGAUUAAUGUUUGUUUGACUGAAUAUCUGGGAGAAAGUAUGUGUUACACACUGGGGCACAGAAAUCUUGGAAUCAGAAUUCUGCCUACCACAGUGAUUUAUAAUAAGCAUUUGGGUUCAAUAAUUUAUAUUUAAAACUAUGGUGUUUGUUAAGUAUUUGAAAGCAGCAUAAAUAAUUUCUUAAAAAACAAAUGGGAGAACCUGGCCAGUAAUCCAGACUAUACAAAGGUGCUUUGGUUAGUUCAAACUGAGGGAGAGUAAAAUCCACAAAUACAUACUUGCCUUCUGCUCAUCUUAAGUAGUCUACUCUGUGCCCAGAAUCUGCUUGGGAACCACUGCAUACAGUACAGCCCCUUUUGCUAAUACAGGAUCAACCCGGAGACAGCAAUGGGUCUGGUGGGGGGGGGUGGUGAGGAUGUCUUGUGGGAAAGAGCACUCUCCUUUUUCAUUCCUCAGCUCUUACUUAAGAGCAGAGAUGUUGUAUCCUCCAGAUUAGGCUCCUCUUUUAAAAACCCACUGUGACAGGUAAUAGGAGGCUCCAGCAUUUUUUGAAGAUUUGAAUUUUAAAUUUAAAAUGUCAUCUUCAUUGUAGACCUUCAUCGCAUGGCUGGCUGCUGUGAUCCAACUCGGGGGAGUGGGAGGCAGCUGGUAUUUGCUGCCCGUCUUCCAUGUAGAAUUGUGAUGGGGUCAGAGCCCCCACAUAAUUAAGGAAACUUCUCUGAUUGCAGUGAUUUCAUGGGGGAAAAUACGAAGUUUUUCUUUUCAUUUAUUUUUGUAUUAAAUAUGACAUUUUAAGAGAUAUCAUUAAAAAAUAUUCUUCUGCCCAGGAGAGAAAAGGCUUAGAUCAUAGCUAUCUUUCAUUGAAGCUGUUAGGUUCUUGUUAAGUUUACCGUGUUAGCCUUCAAGGUCUUAUCUUUUCUGACUUGGAGAACUAAAGGGAUUUGAUCCCCUUCCAGUUCUAUAAACAAUGUCCUUUAAUCAGUUUGAGGCAUCACAGUUGAUCAGAGGAAAGUACUUUCUCCCUCCCAAAGCUAACAGCACCUGCCAAUCCCCCUAUCCAGAAGCAAGAGAGAAGGGGUGCUCUUUGAGUCCAAGAGAACUGUUAUUUCAGAUGUACAUAAACUAUAGAAACAUCCCCAAACCCGUUGCCUCAUUAAUAGAUGCCAAGCAGAGUGGCGUUUGCAGACUUAAAAACAAUGCUAUGGACCCACAUAUCCAUCCGACAUUUAUUUUUGUAUGGCUAGUGUGAUACUCGUGGUAUUGAAAGUAUUUUAUAUCUGUUGGCCUUAAGUUCAUCAUCUUAGUGAAAAUGUAGAAAGGAUAGAUGACUAAAUAGAAAGUAAGGGUGUCUUAUUAAUAAUAUUGUUGAUAUAUAUAGAGUGGACUAUAAUUAGCCAUACUUUUCAUUUUCAAGGUACUUAUCUUAAGCUUUCUUCAGUUUUAGAAGGAUAUGAAGAUUACACUCACUUCUGGUAGGCUGAGUUAAACUGCAGUAACAAAGAACACUCAAAUAUCAGAGGCUUAAAACAACAAAGGUUUAUUUCUAGCUUGUGCUGCAUGUCCCUGGGCUCUGUAUCAUCCUUACAAGAGACCCAGGCUGAUGGAGGCUCCAAUUCAGUGCUUCUGCAAUUGCUUGGCAGGGGAAAGAGAAUGAAGCAAGUUGUGCACUGGCUUUUAAAGCUUCUAGUUGGAAAUGACACGUCAGUUGUGCUCACAUAUCAACAUUGAAAACAAGUCACUUGGUCACACUCGAUUCCAAAAGGGCAGAAGGCAGAGAACCAGAAAUAUUUGGUGAACAGAACUAAUGACAACCACACACACACAUUAAUAUGUAAAUUGAAAACAGGGGGAAUAACUUCAAUUGUAGCCAAGUGAGGAGAGUCAACUUUGAUUUAUCAUUGUAAUAUGGUUACUUGGAUAAGUUUAGAAUCAAUGAAAACAACGAUGUAGUCUAUGUUCAUAGAAUUUCUGCAGUCAAUGAGAAGAAUAUGGCAGGCCUUUAUGUAAAAAUGAAAAUAUCACCCCUAAAUAUUGAUUUUAAAAAAGAAUAAGUAGCAGAAUACUAUGAUCCCAUUUAUUAAAAAAACAAACUGUA